Molecule: long non-coding RNA, 7073 nt
Filed under: Sorghum bicolor (sorghum)
Lineage: Eukaryota; Viridiplantae; Streptophyta; Magnoliopsida; Poales; Poaceae
Description: long non-coding RNA (SBIC_LNC017621)
Source: RNAcentral
AACCAUGUGUUUGCAGUUUGCAGAUCAGACGAUAAAUUUUCCAAAAGGAAUAGUGAGGAACCUUUGUGUCCGAGUUGGUACCUUGUAUGCCCCAGCAGACUUCGUAGUGGUUGAGACCGGAAAUGAUGAGAGAGCACCUAUCAUCCUAGGAAGGCCAUUUUUGAACACCACGGGAGCUAUCAUCUACGCCAGUGCUGCCAAGAUCAGUUUCUACGUCAAAGGGAAGAAGGAGACAUUUUUCUUCAAGAACAAGACUGCACAAAUUCCAGAUCAAUCCAGACGUGAAUCAAGGAAGAGGACCAACAGGAGAAACAGGAACAAGCAAGUGUGGACCGAGUCAGCUAAGAUGGUCACUGUAGUCCAUGGAGGCCAAGAUCACCAACUUAAGUCACCAUUUUUGACCAAGAAGGACGACCCAGGAAUGCCAAGCAUCUACUGCUCCAUAAAUGGAUAUAACUUCUACAAGACAAUUUGCGACACCUGAUCGGGCGUCAGCAUAAUGGCCGCAGUCACUUAUCGGCUCUUGUUCGGGACCAUGCCACUAAGACCAACAUACAUUCAGCUCCACAUGGCAGAUCAGACAUUUCGAGAAGUUCAAGGAAUAGUAUCUGAUGUCCCAGUCAAAAUAGACGAUCACCUUGUCUACACAGACUUUCAAGUUGUUGACAUGGGAGAAGACGAGUAUGAUCCACCCAUCAUCCUUGGAAGACCGUUCCUCAGCACCAUUAAAGCAAUUAUCUACAUUGGAACCGGAGAAGUCCAUAUGCACUUCCCCUCAGAGAAGGUACGCCGUUAUUUUACUGACCCUAACUAUAUCAUUGAAGAAUCUAAGCAGGUCAGAAAGUGACGCAACCGCAACCAGAGGAGGCAGAUCAUCAAGGACGGCUGGGCAGAUUAUGAAGGAGAAGUUGUAAGGUCAGAAGACGUAGAGUUUAAACAGAAUUAUCCAGAGGAGAUUGAAGCACCGAGUCAAGUAUGGAAAAUGAAGAUAACUAUACAUGAAGAGGAGGCGCUACCGGAAGUACCGACUUCGCCACCCAACGAACCUCAGGACGAUUAAGAAGUUGGAGAGUCCCGUUCGGAGGACUUAAAAACACCGAACGCCCUGCCAAGAGGUAAACUUGGUAGUUACCCUUUCCCUUUCAAUUAUUUCAAUUAUUUUAAAUAGUUUACUUAGUUAAUUAUGUUCGUGCUGUCCUAAAAAAAAUAAAAAUGUGAAAAACAGUAAGCCCCAUGUGAGUAGACGAGUGGCAUAAAACCCAUAAGUACAUUCACUGUGGUGGCAUAAAAAUAAAAUAAAUAUUUUUUCUGCUUUAUAAAAUAAAAAUAUAAAAACAGGGAGUAAUAUUUAAGGAGUCUCAAGAUAAUAAAGGCUAGAUAUUUAUGCUAACACUUAAUCAGUUCCACAAGCUUUGUUGCCUAUUUGAGCUCCACAGAAUUAAGAAUCAAGAAGACUGGCAGACGGAGGACAUUCUAAUCGCUGUCAGAAUACUGCUGACUUUCAAAUACACCUCUGCCACCUGCUAGCUACAUUAAGAGAAAUUAUGUCAAAAUUCAGCUUGGGGGAGAGCACCCCCAUUUACCUCGAUAAGUAUUUCUAUCUAUUUUUAUACUUAUAUUAUUUUAGAAUAUUAAAAUACACAUAAACUAUGGGAAAACUAAAUAAAGAUUUUAUGCUUAUAUAUGUCUUUUGCUUAGUGUGUUUAACAAAUAAAUAAAGUAGCUAUGCUAAUCUGUAUCUAAACAAAAACUUAAGCAUGGAUAUGAUGAAUAGUUGCUCUGCCUAAUUUGCACAUUCUAAGUUCUCUCUCAAGUUUAGAUAUAACUGUUAUAAUUUAAAGCUUGCCCUAGACCUGAACUUGUGGGAUGAAAACUUGAUCUGAAGUCUAUGUUGUUAACGGAUACGAUAUGGGAAGGUUGAGCUGCUGUUUAUCUGUUCCUAGAGAUGCUAGAAUUCUGGAGAAUUUUAUCUUUGAAAAUCUUUAAAAUAUUGCAUGAUGAGUUUCUAUAUGAUGAGAGCUUAAAUUCCUACCACAGCCAUAUAUACAUGCUUGCUAGACUUUGAGCCACACAUUUACUAUUUACUGCUUAUGAACAUUGAGUGUGAUCAAGCUGUGUAGACCCUUAGGAGCUUGUCAUGUGGUUAAAUCAAGAUUUCACUUGCACGUUCACUCAUAUAUGCUACUUCUACUUCCGAAGUACCAUCCACAUAUAUCCAUCCAUUUCCAUCUCCAGAACCACCUAAAAAUAUUCUACUCCUAAUCCGGGAGAGAAUAACCAAAAAUAUUUCUGUUUCCCCUUGUGAAAUAAAUGCUCAAGUUAUCUUGUUACUACCACUUGCUAUAUUAUCUCAAGAGAUGAGUGCUCUAAAAAAAGAAGAAAAUAAAAAAAUAUACGAGGAAAUAAAAAGGAGCAAGUGCUCGGAACCUCGAAAGAAAAGAAAGAGUGAGACGAGAGGUAAAAAUGGACAAGUGUCCGACAGUAGAAUUAGGGGUGCAAGAUACCCACAUGAGAGACAAGAAAAAGAAGAGCAUCUCAUUCUCCUCAUAAAGUUUCAAAAGCAAGGAAGGUAUGUAUUCCCUCAAAAGAGCAAAGUAGAAUUAGACUUCCACCACCAUUGUUUUCACCAUUGUUAUCACCAUCAUCACCAUACACCAUUCAUUCGCCACACAUGCACAUCUUGAUUUGGCUUAUUGAUUUGUUUCUUUGGAUCCAUGGUUUGACUAUGCAAUAAAUGUCUUGUGAGUAUGUAUACUUUAUCUCCCACCUAUGAGCUCCAAAUAUUAAAGCCUUAUUAGAGUAGGGUGAGAGAGAAGGCAAUGUCACUAUGCCUUAUACCACAAAUACUACAUAUCUUGAGAGAAGGCAUAUACCAUCAAUGCCUUGGUAAGGAUCCAAAAAUACCACAAAAGAGAGAUAUGAGAGAAUCAUACAAGGAAUCUCUGAGUUUUAUUUGAAAAUCUGCAAAAACCCCAGAGCUAUAGCUGAUCAAGAAUAAGAGACAUGGCACUUGGCUAGACUGUUCUAUCUUUUAACCACUCAAGACGGAAGUGACAGUUACAAGUCCCAUGGUGUAGGUAAAGUAAGUAAGUUUUAAGUCUUGACAGUUUACUCUAACUCAGAGAUGAGAUCUUAUUUAAAAAGCAUGUGUACCGUCAAUUUUUAAAGAUAUUGCAACUACUUAUGAUCCAUUGCUGAGUCUAUCCUUGCUCAGGGACGAGCAAGAGGUAAGCUUGGGGGAGUUUGUUGACGGUCCUUAAGUAUCAAAAUUUAAUUAUCAAAUAAAUAAAGAAAAGGAUCCAAAUGAAAUCAAGAUCCAGACUUAAGGUUUUAUCUGACAGAAUUCCAUGAGUUUUGGUGUUUGUCUAUUUCUGCAGGGGGUUAUCAGGAAAUAUGGAAGAAAGGCCCACAUGUCAGGAUUACGUAAAGGUAUUAACGUGCUGCGCAAUUAUCUUACAUCUAGAAGACUCCAGAAGCCACGAGACCGAAGCGGAGGCGAAUCGGGGCCAGAGACAGGGCGCCCGCCCUGUCCUACUGGGCGCCCGCCCUGCUCCCAAGUCCAAUCAGGACUCUGCUUUGCGGGAAGUCUCCACCGACCUAAAGGAUGAAUCUAAACCAUACAAUCUAUGUCGGUUUGAUCCAAGGGCCCAUAUUCACUUGAAGGGACUAUAAAACCAGACCCCCUGGCCCCUAGAGGAGAGAGCCUCUCAACCCUAAUUCAUUGUUCCAUCAAGGGAGAAGAAGCCUCUGAUCAAGAUUAGAGCCACCACAUCAAUUAGAUAUCUAGAUUAGCAUAGCUACAUAGGAUUAGAACUAGAAGGAGUCAAUCUUCGAUUGGUUUCCGGAUCUGUCAGGAGGAUUCUUUGUAAUUCUCUAAUUGUGCUUCUAAUUGCUUUCUAAUUAUCUUUGUUCUUCAAUAUUAUGAAUAUGACUUUGUUCUACUUCAAUAUAUUGCUUAUGACUUUGCUCUACUUGCUUAUAUUCAAGAUUAUAUUGUUCUUAGUUUAUCAUAGUUAUGUACUUGGCUUAGUUAGAUUCGAUCUAUAUACAUGCUUAGGAUCGUAUAGCGUUUGUCCAUCGGAUCCAAGGGUAAAUGAUAGAUAUUGUGUAGGCAUGGUGCUUAUACCGUAUUUAUCUGCGAUUGUACCCAAUAUGCCAGAUCGUGGGGUGGUUCGUGAUAGUGACAGCUUCAUUGAUUCUUAUAUAGUCCCCCUCUCAUGUAUUGGGCUGGCAGAGCAACAUUAUUACAGGGGAGUGAUUGCUAUGUUUCUCAUAUUCCUUGCUAAUAUCACUAUGCAUGGGCGUAGUCUUGUCUCGCAAUGAUUGCUAAGUAUGCUUGCACUAACUAUGAUAUGCUAGACUAUAUAGUUGAGAAUAACUUAGGGAAUAUUCUUGUAGUUCGUUCUAAUACCAUGCUAAUGACUUUCUAGAGUAUCUAAUUGAGGUGCUUAUCAUAUUUAUGAUGUGGCUAGAUCAGAUUAGUUAUCCUUGUCACUAUUAUUAUUUCAUAUAUCUUUUAUGUGACACUUAUCCCUGUAUGAAGAGUUAGAUAUAAUGUUCUCAAUUAUACGAGUGGCAUAAAACCCAUAAGUACAUUCACUGUGGUGGCAUAAAAAUAAAAUAAAUAUUUUUUUUGCUUUAUAAAAUAAAAAUAUAAAAACAGGGAGUAAUAUUUAAGGAGUCUCAAGAUAAUAAAGGCUAGAUAUUUAUGCUAACACUUAAUCAGUUCCACAAGCUUUGUUGCCUAUUUGAGCUCCACAGAAUUAAGAAUCAAGAAGACUGGCAGACGGAGGACAUUCUAAUCGCUGUCAGAAUACUGCUGACUUUCAAAUACACCUCUGCCACCUGCUAGCUACAUUAAGAGAAAUUAUGUCAAAAUUCAGCUUGGGGGAGAGCACCCCCAUUUACCUCGAUAAGUAUUUCUAUCUAUUUUUAUACUUAUAUUAUUUUAGAAUAUUAAAAUACACAUAAACUAUGGGAAAACUAAAUAAAGAUUUUAUGCUUAUAUAUGUCUUUUGCUUAGUGUGUUUAACAAAUAAAUAAACUAGCUAUGCUAAUCUGUAUCUAAACAAAAACUUAAGCAUGGAUAUGAUGAAUAGUUGCUCUGCCUAAUUUGCACAUUCUAAGUUCUCUCUCAAGUUUAGAUAUAACUGUUAUAAUUUAAAGCUUGCCCUAGACCUGAACUUGUGGGAUGAAAACUUGAUCUGAAGUCUAUGUUGUUAACGGAUACGAUAUGGGAAGGUUGAGCUGCUGUUUAUCUGUUCCUAGAGAUGCUAGAAUUCUGGAGAAUUUUAUCUUUGAAAAUCUUUAAAAUAUUGCAUGAUGAGUUUCUAUAUGAUGAGAGCUUAAAUUCCUACCACAGCCAUAUAUACAUGCUUGCUAGACUUUGAGCCACACAUUUACUAUUUACUGCUUAUGAACAUUGAGUGUGAUCAAGCUGUGUAGACCCUUAGGAGCUUGUCAUGUGGUUAAAUCAAGAUUUCACUUGCACGUUCACUCAUAUAUGCUACUUCUACUCCCGAAGUACCAUCCACAUAUAUCCAUCCAUUUCCAUCUCCAAAACCACCUAAAAAUAUUCUACUCCUAAUCCGGGAGAGAAUAACCAAAAAUAUUUCUGUUUCCCCUUGUGAAAUAAAUGCUCAAGUUAUCUUGUUACUACCACUUGCUAUAUUAUCUCAAGAGAUGAGUGCUCUAAAAAAAGAAGAAAAUAAAAAAAUAUACGAGGAAAUAAAAAGGAGCAAGUGCUCGGAACCUCGAAAGAAAAGAAAGAGUGAGACGAGAGGUAAAAAUGGACAAGUGUCCGACAGUAGAAUUAGGGGUGCAAGAUACCCACCUGAGAGACAAGAAAAAGAAGAGCAUCUCAUUCUCCUCAUAAAGUUUCAAAAGCAAGGAAGGUAUGUAUCCCCUCAAAAGAGCAAAGUAGAAUUAGACUUCCACCACCAUUGUUUUCACCAUUGUUAUCACCAUCAUCACCAUACACCAUUCAUUCGCCACACAUGCACAUCUUGAUUUGGCUUAUUGAUUUGUUUCUUUGGAUCCAUGGUUUGACUAUGCAAUAAAUGUCUUGUGAGUAUGUAUACUUUAUCUCCCACCUAUGAGCUCCAAAUAUUAAAGCCUUAUUAGAGUAGGGUGAGAGAGAAGGCAAUGUCACUAUGCCUUAUACCACAAAUACUACAUAUCUUGAGAGAAGGCAUAUACCAUCAAUGCCUUGGUAAGGAUCCAAAAAUACCACAAAAGAGAGAUAUGAGAGAAUCAUACAAGGAAUCUCUGAGUUUUAUUUGAAAAUCUGCAAAAACCCCAGAGCUAUAGCUGAUCAAGAAUAAGAGACAUGGCACUUGGCUAGACUGUUCUAUCUUUUAACCACUCAAGACGGAAGUGACAGUUACAAGUCCCAUGGUGUAGGUAAAGUAAGUAAGUUUUAAGUCUUGACAGUUUACUCUAACUCAGAGAUGAGAUCUUAUUUAAAAAGCAUGUGUACCGUCAAUUUUUAAAGAUAUUGCAACUACUUAUGAUCCAUUGCUGAGUCUAUCCUUGCUCAGGGACGAGCAAGAGGUAAGCUUGGGGGAGUUUGUUGACGGUCCUUAAGUAUCAAAAUUUAAUUAUCAAAUAAAUAAAGAAAAGGAUCCAAAUGAAAUCAAGAUCCAGACUUAAGGUUUUAUCUGACAGAAUUCCACGAGUUUUGGUGUUUGUCUAUUUCUGCUGGGGGUUAUCAGGAAAUAUGGAAGAAAGGCCCACAUGUCAGGAUUACGUAAAGGUAUUAACGUGCUGCGCAAUUAUCUUACAUCUAGAAGACUCCAGAAGCCACGAGACCGAAGCGGAGGCGAAUCGGGGCCAGAGACAGGGCGCCCGCCCUGUCCUACUAGGCGCCCGCCCUGCUCCCAAGUCCAAUCAGGACUCUGCUUUGCGGGAAGUCUCCACCGACCUAAAGGAUGAAUCUAAACCAUACAAUCUAUGUCGGUUUGAUCCAAGGGCCCAUAUUCACUUGAAGGGACUAUAAAACCAGACCCCCUGGCCCCUAGAGGAGAGAGCCUCUCAACCCUAAUUCAUUGUUCCAUCAAGGGAGAAGAAGCCUC